RNAcentral lists this ribosomal RNA (522 nucleotides) under uncultured bacterium. RNAcentral describes it as "partial 16S ribosomal RNA". It matches the Rfam family "Bacterial small subunit ribosomal RNA", at positions 28 to 523 of the family's 1533-position model. The record is from RNAcentral.
GACGAACGCUGGCGGCGUGCCUAAUACAUGCAAGUCGAACGCAAAACUUUCACCGAAUGCUUGCAUUCACGAAAGCUUUGAGUGGCGAACGGGUGAGUAACACGUGGGUAACCUGCCCAGAAGAGGGGGAUAACACUUGGAAACAGGUGCUAAUACCGCAUAAUAACAAAAACCGCAUGGUUUUUGUUUGAAAGAUGGUUUUGCUAUCACUUCUGGAUGGACCCGCGGCGUAUUAGCUAGUUGGUAAGGUAAAGGCUUACCAAGGCAAUGAUACGUAUCCGAACUGAGAGGUUGAGCGGCCACAUUGGGACUGAGACACGGCCCAAACUCCUACGGGAGGCAGCAGUAGGGAAUCUUCCACAAUGGACGAAAGUCUGAUGGAGCAACGCCGCGUGAGUGAAGAAGGUUUUCGGAUCGUAAAACUCUGUUGUUAGAGAAGAACGUGUGUGAGAGUAACUGCUCAUGCAGUGACGGUAUCUAACCAGAAAGCCACGGCUAACUACGUGCCAGCAGCCGCCGUAA